GGGAAGGUGGCUCAGUGGUAGAGCACUUGCCUUGCAUGCAUGAGGCCCUGGGUUCGAUUCCUCAGCCCA
Molecule: transfer RNA, 69 nt
Filed under: Dipodomys ordii (Ord's kangaroo rat)
Lineage: Eukaryota; Metazoa; Chordata; Mammalia; Rodentia; Heteromyidae
Rfam family: tRNA
About the family: Transfer RNA (tRNA) molecules are approximately 80 nucleotides in length. Their secondary structure includes four short double-helical elements and three loops (D, anti-codon, and T loops). Further hydrogen bonds mediate the characteristic L-shaped molecular structure. tRNAs have two regions of fundamental functional importance: the anti-codon, which is responsible for specific mRNA codon recognition, and the 3' end, to which the tRNAs corresponding amino acid is attached (by aminoacyl-tRNA synthetases). tRNAs cope with the degeneracy of the genetic code in two manners: having more than one tRNA (with a specific anti-codon) for a particular amino acid; and 'wobble' base-pairing, i.e. permitting non-standard base-pairing at the 3rd anti-codon position.
Source: Rfam by way of RNAcentral